CCUACGGGAGGCAGCAGUGAGGAAUAUUGGUCAAUGGACGAGAGUCUGAACCAGCCAAGUAGCGUGAAGGAUGACUGCCCUAUGGGUUGUAAACUUCUUUUAUAAAGGAAUAAACUGAGGCACGUGUGCCUUUUUGCAUGUACUUUAUGAAUAAGGACCGGCUAACUCCGUGCCAGCAGCCGCGGUAAUACGGAGGAUCCGAGCGUUAUCCGGAUUUAUUGGGUUUAAAGGGAGCGUAGAUGGGUUGUUAAGUCAGUUGUGAAAGUUUGCGGCUCAACCGUAAAAUUGCAAUUGAUACUGGCAGUCUUGAGUACAGUUGAGGUAGGCGGAAUUCGUGGUGUAGCGGUGAAAUGCUUAGAUAUCACGAAGAACCCCGAUUGCGAAGGCAGCUUACGAAACUGUGACUGACAUUGAUGCUCGAAAGUGUGGGUAUCAAACAGGAUUAGAUACCCUUGUAGUC
This 460-nucleotide ribosomal RNA is filed under the name uncultured bacterium. RNAcentral describes it as "partial 16S ribosomal RNA". It matches the Rfam family "Bacterial small subunit ribosomal RNA", at positions 338 to 795 of the family's 1533-position model. The record is from RNAcentral.